CUUGACCUGCUGAAUUAGAAGGAAAACAUGGCGACACCCCUGUUCCUUACUAGUGUUGCUUAAAAUGCACCUUAUAAUCUGGUGCCCUUAUGUAUGAAAAUAGACUCGAAAAUAGACAUUCAUUGAUAGUGUGCCUAUUAAUUUGGUGCACGUUAUAGUCCAUUAAAUACGGUAAACAGCCCUAGUAUUAAUUACAGUACUUCACCUCCCCAUGUAAAUCAAACACUGUCCAAAUUAAAUGAAUUAAAGCGCUGUAGAAAUUUUCAGAUUACAUUUUUUCCUCCUAUCCUCCAUCUGAAUUCUAUUCAUAUUCUUCAGUUUUGCAGGAGACAGAAAACAGGCACGUUUUGUUGGGGGGGAACCACCCGUUCUAGCAGACAGAUGCAACACCUUUCAGAGAACCCAGACACUACACACUCCACUGACUUCCUUGUCCAGCCUGUACCAGCAACACAUCAUAGAAGGCAUCACCACCCACAGUGGACAGGGCAGUUUGUGGUAAUAAUCGUGACCGGCGGCUUCUGUCUAGACUUGUCCAUGCAAACAGACAAGUUCCAGACAAGUGACUCCCCACCCUUAUCUCCCACAGUUUAUUGAUCCACACUUCAGUUCCGGCUGACAUUCCUGCUUGAAAAGGGCUCUCUAUAAAAGUGGCUAUUUUACUUUCUCCUCUGGAAGAUCUCUGAUGGCCAAGUCAUUUCAAGAGGUGUUAACAGCUCUUUGACGCUACGGCAUCCGGCUCAAGUGAAUACUGAAGGAGAGGUGCAGCGCACAAUACCUGAGGAUCUGUACUUAAUCUACAAGAGCAUUCUUAUCAUUCACGCAUCCUUCAGAUUCUUCAGAAGAACCGAGCUCCUAAUAAAGAUGAAUGACUUUUUAGCGGGUUUCCUUCA
This 893-nucleotide long non-coding RNA is filed under the name Astyanax mexicanus (Mexican tetra). Its description in RNAcentral is "lncRNA (ENSAMXG00005023777.1)". Lineage: Eukaryota; Metazoa; Chordata; Actinopteri; Characiformes; Acestrorhamphidae. The record is from RNAcentral.